GAGUGAAGCGGCAACAGCUCAAAUUUGAAAUCUGGCUCUGAGUUGUAAUUUGUAGAGGAUACUUUUGAUGCGGUCCUUCCGAGUUCCCUGGAACGGGACGCCAUAGAGGGUGAGAGCCCCGUCUGGUUGGAUGCCAAAUCUCUGUAGUUCCUUCAACGAGUCGAGUAGUUUGGGAAUGCUGCUCUAAAUGGGAGGUAUAUGUCUUCUAAAGCUAAAUACCGGCCAGAGACCGAUAGCGCACAAGUAGAGUGAUCGAAAGAUGAAAAGCACUUUGAAAAGAGAGUUAAAAAGUACGUGAAAUUGUUGAAAGGGAAGCGUUUAUGACCAGACUUGGGCUUGGUAUCAUCUGGGGUUCUCCCCAGUGCACUUUCCAGCCAGGCCAGCAUCAGUUUUCCCCGGGGGAUAAGGCGGCGGGAAUGUGGCUCUGGGAGUGUUAUAGCCCACCGUAUACCCUGGGGGGGACUGAGGUUCGCGCAUCUGCAAGGAUGCUGGCGUAAUGGUCAUCAACGACCCGUCUUGAAACACGGACCAAGGAGUCGUCUUCGUAUGCGAGUGUUCGGGUGUCAAACCCCUACGCGUAAUGAAAGUGAACGCAGGUGAGAGCGGCGCAUCAUCGACCGAUCCUGAUGUUCUCGGAUGGAUUUGAGUAAGAGCAUACGGGGCCGGACCCGAAAGAAGGUGAACUAUGCCUGUAUAGGGUGAAGCCAGAGGAAACUCUGGUGGAGGCUCGCAGCGGUUCUGACGUGCAAAUCGAUCGUCAAAUAUGGGGGUGGGUGCAAAAGGCUAAUCCAACCUUCUAGGAGGAGGGGUCCGCCCCCGUUUCCCUCAGGAUAGCAGUGUUGAAUUAGCCCCUGAGGUAAAAAAAAUGAUUAGGGACUCGGGGGGCAUUUUAUCAUUCCCCAUUUUCAAACUUCAAAGAUGUAAGAAGCUUUGUUCCUGAAUUUUACGUGGGCUUUAAAAUGUAUCAACACUAGUGGGCCUUAACCGUAAGCGGACCUGGCCUUGAGAUAGGAACUUGAUAGGGGGGAAAGGUGCCAGAGACGCUGGUAAAACAC
Molecule: ribosomal RNA, 1055 nt
Filed under: Fusarium sp. ES157
Lineage: Eukaryota; Fungi; Ascomycota; Sordariomycetes; Hypocreales; Nectriaceae
Description: LSU rRNA
Rfam family: Eukaryotic large subunit ribosomal RNA
Source: RNAcentral